GAUGAACGCUGGCGGCGUGCCUAAUACAUGCAAGUCGAGCGGACGGACGAGACGCUUGCUUUUCUGAUGUUAGCGGCGGACGGGUGAGUAACACGUGGAUAACCUACCUAUAAGACUGGGAUAACUUCGGGAAACCGGAGCUAAUACCGGAUAAUAUUUUGAACCGCAUGGUUCAAAAGUGAAAGACGGUCUUGCUGUCACUUAUAGAUGGAUCCGCGCUGCAUUAGCUAGUUGGUAAGGUAACGGCUUACCAAGGCAACGAUGCAUAGCCGACCUGAGAGGGUGAUCGGCCACACUGGAACUGAGACACGGUCCAGACUCCUACGGGAGGCAGCAGUAGGGAAUCUUCCGCAAUGGGCGAAAGCCUGAUGGAGCAACGCCGCGUGAGUGAUGAAGGUCUUCGGAUCGUAAAACUCUGUUAUUAGGGAAGAACAUAUGUGUAAGUAACUGUGCACAUCUUGACGGUACCUAAUCAGAAAGCCACGGCUAACUACGUG
RNAcentral lists this ribosomal RNA (497 nucleotides) under uncultured bacterium. RNAcentral's name for it is "partial 16S ribosomal RNA". It matches the Rfam family "Bacterial small subunit ribosomal RNA", at positions 28 to 507 of the family's 1533-position model. The record is from RNAcentral.